Molecule: ribosomal RNA, 373 nt
Filed under: uncultured organism
Description: partial 16S ribosomal RNA
Rfam family: Bacterial small subunit ribosomal RNA
Source: RNAcentral
GUAGGUGGGCAAGCGUUGUCCGGAAUUAUUGGGCGUAAAGCGCGCGCAGGCGGUUCUUUAAGUCUGAUGUGAAAGCCCACGGCUCAACCGUGGAGGGUCAUUGGAAACUGGAGAACCUGAGUACAGAAGAGGAAAGCGGAAUUCCACGUGUAGCGGUGAAAUGCGUAGAGAUGUGGAGGAACACCAGUGGCGAAGGCGGCUUUCUGGUCUGUAACUGACGCUGAGGCGCGAAAGCGUGGGGAGCAAACAGGAUUAGAUACCCUGGUAGUCCACGCCGUAAACGAUGAGUGCUAAGUGUUAGGGGGUUUCCGCCCCCCUUAGUGCUGCAGCUAACGCAUUAAGCACUCCGCCUGGGAGUACGGCCGCAAGGCUG